Molecule: transfer RNA, 67 nt
Filed under: Marmota monax (woodchuck)
Lineage: Eukaryota; Metazoa; Chordata; Mammalia; Rodentia; Sciuridae
Also listed under: 2 other names
Rfam family: tRNA
About the family: Transfer RNA (tRNA) molecules are approximately 80 nucleotides in length.
Source: Rfam by way of RNAcentral
GGUUGUGGUUCAGUGGUAGAGCACUUGCCUAAUAUGUGUGAGGCCCUGGGUUCGAUCCUCAGCACCA